This 2238-nucleotide long non-coding RNA is filed under the name Hordeum vulgare. RNAcentral describes it as "long non-coding RNA (HVUL_LNC008113)". The record is from RNAcentral. Lineage: Eukaryota; Viridiplantae; Streptophyta; Magnoliopsida; Poales; Poaceae.
UCUUCUCCUUGAUUUUUUUGCGGGCGAGACGGACUAAAUAGAGCUGAGUUUGGAGAUGGUGGCGCCACGUGGGCCCCACAAGCCUGGUAGGUGCGUCUUUGGGGGGGGUGGCCGCGCCUCCUGGGCUUGUGGCCCACUGGCUCACCUCCUCCCGUGGAUCUUUGCGCAUGUAUUUUUCAUUAAUUCCAGAAAAAUUCUCCGUAAAUUUUCAGGUCAUUCCGAGAACUUUUACUUCUGCACAAAAACAACACCAUGGCAAUUCUGCUAAAAACAGCGUUAGUCCGGAUUAGUUCCAUUCAAAUCAUGCAAAUUAGAGACAAAAACAAGGGCAAAAGAGUUCGGAAAAGUAGAUACGACGGAGACGUAUUAGGCAUCGUCGUUGAUCCGUACAUGGUCGUUCAUCACUCCUGCGGAAACCAGGGAGCCUAUGGUUACUGGGUCUACACGGUAAGAGAUGGUAGCUCGAGAUAUCUACAACCGGUUUGGAUGGCAGUCCAGUAAUAGGAUAUUUGGUUAGGUAUCUAGGACUAUGUUCGCUGGUUGUGGCAUCAUUUUAUAGACUUUUCAACAUUGUGUUGCUCGUUUUGAGCUUGUUCGAAACCGCUGGAUGUUUGUUACUUUUCGUUAAUUAAGUGGAUGCAUGCAUCGUAUUAAUGCAGGGAUUGAAGGAAAUCCUUCUUUUCUAAAAAAAAUAUAGCCUGGGGCCAACGUUCUCCCUUAAGGAAAGGCACGCAGGCCGUGCGAGGAGAAGUGGGGGCGAUCCACACGAGUAGGAGUCGGUUACAUCCACGUAUACAACUCAUACAAUACGACAGUAUGUUAACAGUACAUGUUAUCAUGGCACUGUACUUGAAGGGUACAUGUAGACAAUCAACUAUCAAAAAAUGUACUCAUUUCUUUCGCUUCCACCUCAUUCGUAUCAUCCAAGAAAUAUCUCUCACCUGCUUUUGUCGGGUGUGUCACAACAGCCACAAUUGAGUUAAAGGACACGUAUGUUUGUACUUGCCUUUAUAUAAAGAUAGAUGCAAUGCCUUCUCCUACUCAAUACAUGCAUAUAUAUACAAUAUUUUACUGUAGUUUUCUUGCCACCUCAUUCAUUAGCUCUUCUUAUCAAGUUAGUAGCUCCUAGAUUAACAAGAAUUGAGUUGAGAGCCUUGAGAAAAGGGUGACAGGAAUGGCAACUAGAAGAAGUUACUGGAAGUGCGUGUGUAGUUCAUUAGGACUGUGAGGCAUCUUGAAGCAAAUCUCCUAACAAAAACUGGAAGCUGGCCCUUGCAGCAGUAGUUGUGGGAGUGCAUAGAAUGGAACUUGGAAGAGCAUCAGCCACUAGGUUAGUUCCAGAAUCAAGCAAGGUGAUUUGUGUAAAACGUGAGACAGGAGAUUGUUUGGGAGAGAUCGCUCAGCACUAACAGCUCGCAAGUGACAAGUCAUCUGCAUAUUUAUAGGGGCUGCUAUGCGUUCGCCGGCGGAUCUUUCUAAAAGAUCCUUCGCCUCGCACGCCAUUUGAUUGUAUGACGUCAGUCAUUUGUUUCUCUUUUCUAUUUUCCUGCCACAAACGCCUGGUUGCAAAGGUCAUUCUCGUAACAAGAUCCCAGUUAUAAAACUUGUUUUUUUGUAACAAAACUCUUGUUGCAAACAUAAUUCCCGUAACAAGAUCUCGUCCAUUCCUCUUUUCUAUUUUUCUUCCACAAGCGCCUUGUUGCAAAAAUCAUUCCUGGAAGAAGAUAUCUAUUGCAGACCUUGUUAUUCUUUUUCCACAACAAGAUUCCAGUUACAGACCUUGUUAUUCUGUUUCUGCAACGACUCUUGUUGCAAACAAAUUCCUGUAACAAGAUCUCAGUUGCAAAUGUUCGUUGGAGAUAAGAACAAAAUGCGCUUGACGGAACGUUUAGUGCGGUAUCCAUCGGGUGACGUGAUACAAAGGGAAAACGGUGGACGUUUGGUGUUGGAUCGAUCCGUCAAAUGGUCAGAAUCUUGAUCCGUCAAAUGGUCAGAAUCUUUUCCCAUAUUUAUAUUUCAAGAGUACGAGAUACAUACGAGUAAAAGAUGCGUACCUUACAAGUUUGGUUGUAAUCACACCAACUAGCCUAUAUGGUUUGAACCAUAUCUUAUCUGCUAGUUUAUCACCCUCCCUCAGUCUCAACUUCAUUUAGCACAUUAUAAGAUAGCGUUUACAUGACUGAAAGUUUGGCAAUGGUAACAGCAUAGUGAAUAUGUCUACAAUUUGAUCUUGGGAAG